AAAUCCCCCAAAAUUUUAAAAAUAAAAUAAAAUAAUAAAAAAUCCCAAACUAGCAUUUACCUGUGACUGAGUAAAUUAAUAGAAUCUAGAAGGAAAAUAAGUGAGGUCGUUCCUUCCAUUUUUUCAUUGAAGUGAUGUUCAAAUUUAAGGUUUUAAAUCAAACCAUUAUAGGUGUACUUUUUUCCAAUGCAAUAAGGCUAAAAAGUUUAAUUUUUGCCUAUAAGCAGUAGUAGAUAUCAUUUAAACACACCACACACUUAUACUUAAUUUCUUACAACUCUACUUGUUUGAGCGAUACCACCUAUCUUCAUUUGCCAGUCAGAAUGGGAUUAUUGAAGUCCUCCCAUGUAAUUGUGUUCACCAUUUCUCUAGCAAUCUUGUUCCUUAUGAUGUCUAAUGUUGCUUCUGCAAUUCUUCAUGACACAACACCAGAACUCAAACUUGGACGAAGGGCUCUUAGCGAUUAUGAAUUACCACGUACCUAUGGCACAGGAUGGGGAGGAUAUAGUCCACCAACAUCACCAUAGUAAUCUUACUGAAGAGAAUAUGUAGCAGAUAAUAUGUAACCGUUUCAUUCUAGUAUAAGUUGCUGUGCCUUAACGUAGCUGCGAGUACUAGUCAGAAUACAUACAGCACUGCAACGGAUACAGAAUUGAAAGCAGUGUUUUUGCAAAUUUAUACAAAUAAAAAACACAGCCCCAAGUUCAAUCU
This is a long non-coding RNA of Cornus florida, 711 nucleotides long. RefSeq lists it as uncharacterized. The record is from RefSeq and is a predicted model, not a curated record. The transcript is spliced from 2 exons. Lineage: Eukaryota; Viridiplantae; Streptophyta; Magnoliopsida; Cornales; Cornaceae.